UAGGGAAUAUUGGGCAAUGGACGAAAGUCUGACCCAGCCAUGCCGCGUGCAGGAUGACUGCCCUAUGGGUUGUAAACUGCUUUUCUACGGGAAGAAACACUCAUACGUGUGUGAGCUUGACGGUACCGUAGGAAUAAGGAUCGGCUAACUCCGUGCCAGCAGCCGCGGUAAUACGGAGGAUCCAAGCGUUGUCCGGAUUCAUUGGGUUUAAAGGGUGCGUAGGCGGACUACUAAGUCAGGGGUGAAAUCU
Molecule: ribosomal RNA, 250 nt
Filed under: uncultured bacterium
Lineage: Bacteria
Description: partial 16S ribosomal RNA
Rfam family: Bacterial small subunit ribosomal RNA
Source: RNAcentral